RNAcentral lists this ribosomal RNA (456 nucleotides) under Pseudomonas sp. B2-131. RNAcentral's name for it is "bacterial SSU rRNA". It matches the Rfam family "Bacterial small subunit ribosomal RNA", at positions 20 to 474 of the family's 1533-position model. The record is from RNAcentral. Lineage: Bacteria; Pseudomonadati; Pseudomonadota; Gammaproteobacteria; Pseudomonadales; Pseudomonadaceae.
UGGCUCAGAUUGAACGCUGGCGGCAGGCCUAACACAUGCAAGUCGAGCGGCAGCACGGGUACUUGUACCUGGUGGCGAGCGGCGGACGGGUGAGUAAUGCCUAGGAAUCUGCCUAGUAGUGGGGGAUAACGUCCGGAAACGGGCGCUAAUACCGCAUACGUCCUACGGGAGAAAGUGGGGGAUCUUCGGACCUCACGCUAUUAGAUGAGCCUAGGUCGGAUUAGCUAGUUGGUGAGGUAAUGGCUCACCAAGGCGACGAUCCGUAACUGGUCUGAGAGGAUGAUCAGUCACACUGGAACUGAGACACGGUCCAGACUCCUACGGGAGGCAGCAGUGGGGAAUAUUGGACAAUGGGCGAAAGCCUGAUCCAGCCAUGCCGCGUGUGUGAAGAAGGUCUUCGGAUUGUAAAGCACUUUAAGUUGGGAGGAAGGGCAGUUACCUAAUACGUGAUUGUUU